Drosophila subobscura is the source of this 453-nucleotide long non-coding RNA. RefSeq lists it as uncharacterized. The transcript is spliced from 2 exons. NCBI's taxonomy places the organism in Eukaryota, Metazoa, Arthropoda, Insecta, Diptera, Drosophilidae. The record is from RefSeq and is a predicted model, not a curated record.
AAGCCCGAUGCCCGAUGCCCGAUGCCCGACGCCCGAUGGCCCAGAGUGCCGUUAUCGCUGCCAUGCCGCCCAUGCCGCCAAGCAGUUGCAAAGCAGUCGUCUAGCGUGAAAGUCGAGCAGCAGCAGCAGCAGUAGCAGCAGCGGCUAGCAGCCAAGCAGUUAGUGAGCGCCAAGCAGUAGUAGAAGCAGCAACCACCCACAGCAGUGGCCACAGCCAUACACCAGCGGCAGCGCCAGCACGCAGCAGCACGUGCCCCGCCAGCGUCAACAAACAACAUCCCAGCCAAGCCAACAUCUUUACGAGUACUCCCCCCGCCGUGUGGAGUGGAGCGGAGCGGAGUCUCCAGCAGAUAAAUUCACACACACACAAGUAAAACGCAACAAAUUCAAAAGGAAAACACAGCCCAAAUUAAGAAACGAAACAGCAAAUUUAUAUAGAAAAAAAAAAACAAA